Xylaria cubensis is the source of this 81-nucleotide non-coding RNA. The record is from the annotation of a GenBank genome assembly. Lineage: Eukaryota; Fungi; Ascomycota; Sordariomycetes; Xylariales; Xylariaceae.
AGUCCUGUGGGGUAGUGGUCUAGCCCAGCGUAUGAUCACGUCUAGAAACCGCAGACGCUGGUUCGAAUCCAGCCAGGACUU